RNAcentral lists this ribosomal RNA (907 nucleotides) under uncultured archaeon. RNAcentral describes it as "bacterial SSU rRNA". It matches the Rfam family "Archaeal small subunit ribosomal RNA", at positions 1 to 921 of the family's 1478-position model. The record is from RNAcentral.
UUCCGGUUGAUCCUGCCGGACCUGACUGCUAUCGGAUUGAUACUAAGCCAUGUGAGUCAUUGUAGUAAUACAAGGCAGACGGCUCAGUAACACGUAGUCAAUCUACCCUAUGGACGGGGAUAACCUCGGGAAACUGAGGAUAACACCCGAUAGAUCAUAAUGCCUGGAACGGUUUAUGGUCCAAAUGAUUCGUCGCCGUAGGAUGGGGCUGCGGCCUAUCAGCUUGUUGGUGAGGUAAUGGCCCACCAAGGCUAUUACAGGUACGGGCUCUGAGAGGAGAAGCCCGGAGAUGGGUACUGAGACACGGACCCAGGCCCUAUGGGGCGCAGCAGGCGAGAAAACUUUGCAAUGUGCGCAAGCACGACAAGGUUAAUCCGAGUGUUUCCUGUUAAAGGAAUCUUUUGUUAGUUGUAAAACCACUAUCGAAUAAGGGGUGGGCAAGUUCUGGUGUCAGCCGCCGCGGUAAAACCAGCACCUCAAGUGGUCAGGAGGAUUAUUGGGCCUAAAGCAUCCGUAGCCUGUUCUAUAAGUUUCCGGUUAAAUCCAUUAGCUCAACUAAUGGGCCGCCGAAAAUACUGUAGAACUAGGGAGUGGGAGAGGUAGACGGUAUUCGGUAGGAAGGGGUAAAAUCCUUUGAUCUAUUGAGGACCACCUGUGGCGAAGGCGGUCUACCAGAACACGUUCGACGGUGAGGGAUGAAAGCUGGGGAGCAAACCGGAUUAGAUACCCGGGUAGUCCCAGCUGUAAACGAUGCAGACUCGGUGAUGCGUUGGCUUGUGGCCAGUGCAGUGCCGCAGGGAAGCCGUUAAGUUUGCCGCCUGGAAGUACGUACGCAAGUAUGAAACUUAAAGGAAUUGGCGGGGAGCACCACAGGGUGAAGCCUGCGUUCAAUUGGAAUCAACGCGGA